This 564-nucleotide ribosomal RNA is filed under the name uncultured crenarchaeote. RNAcentral describes it as "bacterial SSU rRNA". It matches the Rfam family "Archaeal small subunit ribosomal RNA", at positions 908 to 1472 of the family's 1478-position model. Lineage: Archaea; Thermoproteati; Thermoproteota. The record is from RNAcentral.
GGAGUCACGCCAGAAAUCUUACCCGGAGAGACAGCAGAAUGAAGGUCAAGCUGAAGACUUUACCAGACAAGCUGAGAGGUGGUGCAUGGCCGUCGCCAGCUCGUGCCGUGAGAUGUCCUGUUAAGUCAGGUAACGAGCGAGAUCCCUGCCUCUAGUUGCCACCAUUACUCUCAGGAGUAGUGGGGCGAAUUAGCGGGACCGCCGCAGUUAAUGCGGAGGAAGGAAGGGGCCACGGCAGGUCAGUAUGCCCCGAAACUCUGGGGCCACACGCGGGCUGCAAUGGUAACGACAAUUGGUUUCGAAUCCGAAAGGAUGAGGUAAUCCUCAAACGUUACCACAGUUAUGACUGAGGGCUGCAACUCGCCCUCACGAAUAUGGAAUCCCUAGUAACUGCGUGUCAUUAUCGCGCGGUGAAUACGUCCCUGCUCCUUGCACACACCGCCCGCCGUUUCAUUGAAGUGAGCUUUUAGCGAGGUGACGUCUAAUUGGCGUUAUCGAACUUGAGGUUCGUGACAAGGGAAAAGUCGUAACAAGGUGACCGUAGGGGAACCUGCGGUCGGAUCA